This 1415-nucleotide long non-coding RNA is filed under the name Equus caballus (horse). RNAcentral's name for it is "lncRNA (ENSECAG00000029126.3)". Lineage: Eukaryota; Metazoa; Chordata; Mammalia; Perissodactyla; Equidae. The record is from RNAcentral.
UUCUGAUAUUAGCCCAUUCCUAACAUAUUUAUACACUUCCUGUCAGUGUGGUCUAAAUUUCAGAUUUGUACUUUCAGUUCAAGAUGGCCAACCACAAAUUUAAUCUACCUCUCCAUCCACGCAGAGGCAAACAAAUACACGAAAACAUAAAAGGACUGGGGACAUGAAAGCCAGCCCUCAUAAAAUCUGAGGACCUCCUAAACUAUGGAAAGAUGAUUUUUUCAGAUUUCAGUUGAAGAAACGGAUGAAGCUACAUCCUAAGAAAUUGGUGUUAAUUGUAGCAACUCCUAGAUCAGCUCUAAAAAGUUUUAAGGUCAGUCAACUCCCCCUUCCCCUCUCCAAGGAGAUUCACCAUCAGCCAUGAUUUGUGUUCUCAGGCUAAUUGCAAACAGCAAUUCACUAAGAAAAGUAAGCACCUGUCUUGCUAGAUCAUGAGUGGGAAGCAGAGCAAAAUGGGAAGCAAUUCUCAAAGAGGGAAAAGAAAAACUGAAGAGGCGGUCCUUCCAAGUAGGAAAAUGUUUUAAACUGCUUCAUUUUCAGAGUAAAGCUCUCUUUCAUUUGGCAAAUAUUGAUCUCCAGCCUACCUGCCUAUAAGAAAUGCUGCUGGUUGAUAACACCUGACUUCCUUUCACAGAAUCCUCCUUGAGGCUUCUUGUUCACGGGUCCUCAGAGAUACAGAUGGGAUCAUGCAGACUGCUUCUUCCAACAGAGUACUUCAUUCAUACAUGUGAAGGAAGCAGGAGGAAGGAGGUAACCAAGAUAAAGAAACCGAACAAGUGACUUUAGAGGAAAUUGAGCUAAUUCUAAAAACAGAAGAGAUCUUAAAAGCAAAUUUUAUCAUCAGUAGAGAUUUGAUAGAGCUAUAGUGCUUUCAAAACCAAGAAUGGCCUGCAAAAGAAAAUGAGCAAGCUGAGAACAACAAAAACAAGUUGAGGAAUAUUCACCUUCAGCUUACAUCUUUGCCAAUCUUCCUCUAUUUUGUAAGUGGGUCGCCACCACAGCAUGGCUGCUGACAAGUGCUGUAGGUCUGUGCUUGGGAACUGAACCCUGGCCACCAAAGUGGAACGCACUGAACUUGACCAGUAGGCCACGGGGCUAGCCCCUAGGAAGACGAUUCUUUUUUAAAUUAUUAUUUCUUUUAGAUUCCAAGAAGAGUUAAUGAGUUGAAUCAGCAAUUCUUCUUCCAUCCCCACCAUGCACACACAUGAUUCCAUUAAAUAUUAAAAAGCAAAACCAAAAAUGAAACAACCUAAAACUAAGACUAAAUUUUGAAAAGAUAGAAUCUAUGGAUAAGUUUAACUCAACUCUCCUAAUAUCUAUGUGUAUAUUUAUUCAAAAUGCUUUUUAAUUAAAAAUACCCUUUGUAAAUUCAUUAUCUGUGCAGGUCUUCAUAACGUUUUUUAUCAUCCACAAAA